GAUUUACAUAAUUGGUAACAACAACAAUAGAGGCAUAUACAUAUAUAUUUGGAAUAUAAGCAUUGGUCAGAAUCAAGCUAAAAACCACAUAUAUAUUGUGAAUAAAAGAAUAAUAAAAUUACAUUAUACAUGUAUAUGUAUUUAUUCUCAAAUUAUUUACUUGACUUAGUGUCAGUGUUCAUACCUGAUCUCCUUAAUUCAAAACAGUCACAAAUAUAACAGCCCAGUUUUUCCAUAAGAGUAACAUUUUCUUGGGUCAAGAGCCAUAAAAAAUUAGAAGAUUUAUUUAAAUUUAUAAAAUUACAACAAUUGUUAGAAAUGUCUUGAAAAAAAUCGUCCCUUUGAAUAUCAUAAAGAGGGCAUUCUAAUAAGAAAUGAAGCUCAUCUUCAAC
Molecule: long non-coding RNA, 392 nt
Filed under: Mytilus galloprovincialis (Mediterranean mussel)
Lineage: Eukaryota; Metazoa; Mollusca; Bivalvia; Mytilida; Mytilidae
Source: RNAcentral